RNAcentral lists this ribosomal RNA (403 nucleotides) under uncultured bacterium. RNAcentral's name for it is "partial 16S ribosomal RNA". It matches the Rfam family "Bacterial small subunit ribosomal RNA", at positions 30 to 526 of the family's 1533-position model. The record is from RNAcentral.
AUUGAACGCUGGCGGCAGGCCUAACACAUGCAAGUCGAGCGAGCGGCGGACGGGUGAGCAAUGUAUGGGGACUGCCCGAUAGAGGGGGAUAACUACUGGAAACGGUGGCUACUACCGCAUACUAUCGGAUAACCCAUAGGGGAUUAGCUAGUAGGUGGGGUAAAGGCUCACCUAGGCGAAGCUCUCUAGCUGGUCUGAGAGGAUGAUAAGCAACACGGGGACUGAUACACGGCCCAGACUCCUACGGAGGCAGCAGUGGGGAAUAUUCCACAAUGGGAGCAAGCCUGAUGCAGCAAUGCCGCGUGAAUGAAGAAGGCCUUAGGGUUGUAAAGUACUUUCAGCGGGGAGGCGUUACCCGAAGAAGAAGCACCGGCUAACUCCGUGCCAGCAGCCGCGGUAAUUC